RNAcentral lists this ribosomal RNA (440 nucleotides) under uncultured bacterium. RNAcentral describes it as "partial 16S ribosomal RNA". It matches the Rfam family "Bacterial small subunit ribosomal RNA", at positions 338 to 795 of the family's 1533-position model. The record is from RNAcentral.
CCUACGGGAGGCAGCAGUGAGGAAUAUUGCACAAUGGGGGAAACCCUGAUGCAGCGACGCCGCGUGAGUGAAGAAGUAUUUCGGUAUGUAAAGCUCUAUCAGCAGGGAAGAAAAUGACGGUACCUGAUUAAGAAGCCCCGGCUAACUACGUGCCAGCAGCCGCGGUAAUACGUAGGGGGCAAGCGUUAUCCGGAUUUACUGGGUGUAAGGGGAGCGUAGACGGCAGCACAAGUCUGGAGUGAAAUGCCGGGGCUUAACCCCGGAACUGCUUUGGAAACUGUGCAGCUAGAGUGCAGGAGAGGUAAGUGGAAUUCCUAGUGUAGCGGUGAAAUGCGUAGAUAUUAGGAGGAACACCAGUGGCGAAGGCGGCUUACUGGACUGUAACUGACGUUGAGGCUCGAAAGCGUGGGGAGCAAACAGGAUUAGAUACCCCAGUAGUC